Molecule: ribosomal RNA, 253 nt
Filed under: uncultured bacterium
Lineage: Bacteria
Description: partial 16S ribosomal RNA
Rfam family: Bacterial small subunit ribosomal RNA
Source: RNAcentral
UACGGAGGGGGCGAGCGUUGUUCGGAAUUACUGGGCGUAAAGGGCGCGUAGGCGGCUUUAUCAGUCAGACGUGAAAGCCCCGGGCUCAACCUGGGAUGUGCGUUUGAUACUGUAGAGCUAGAGACCGGAAGAGGAUGGCGGAAUAUCCAGUGUAGAGGUGAAAUUCGUAGAUAUUGGAUGGAACACCAGUGGCGAAGGCGGCCAUCUGGUCCGGAUCUGACGCUGAGGCGCGAAAGCGUGGGGAGCAAACAGG